Small nucleolar RNA from Apodemus sylvaticus (European woodmouse), 145 nucleotides. RefSeq annotates it as small nucleolar RNA SNORA48. NCBI's taxonomy places the organism in Eukaryota, Metazoa, Chordata, Mammalia, Rodentia, Muridae. The record is from RefSeq and is a predicted model, not a curated record. The transcript has a single exon.
UACCUUUAGCAGUGGGCAAAGAGGCACCUUGUCCUUGGUGUCAUUCUUAUAUCAGUCAGGGACAAAGCAGAUGGCAGUCCUUUGUUCGUCCUAGUUUGAUGCCUGGCUUACUGGCCAAGGUUGACUUAAUGUCUAGGACUCCUAA